This 301-nucleotide ribosomal RNA is filed under the name uncultured bacterium. RNAcentral's name for it is "partial 16S ribosomal RNA". It matches the Rfam family "Bacterial small subunit ribosomal RNA", at positions 509 to 807 of the family's 1533-position model. The record is from RNAcentral.
CAGCCGCCACGGGAAUACGUAGGUGGCAAGCGUUGUCCGGAAUUAUUGGGCGUAAAGGGCUCGCAGGCGGUUUCUUAAGUCUGAUGUGAAAGCCCCCGGCCCAACCGGGGAGGGUCAUUGGAAACUGGGAAGCUUGAGUGCAGAAGAGGAGAGUGGAAUUCCACGUGUAGCGGUGAAAUGCGUAGAGAUGUGGAGGAACACCAGUGGCGAAGGCGACUCUCUGGUCUGUAACUGACGCUGAGGAGCGAAAGCGUGGGGAGCGAACAGGAUUAGAUACCCCAGUAGUCCCUGUCUCUUAUAC